CCUACGGGUGUCAGCAGUGGGGGAUAUUGCACAAUGGGGGGAACCCUGAUGCAGCGACGCCGCGUGGGUGAAGAAGCGCCUCGGCGCGUAAAGCCCUGUCAGCAGGGAAGAAAAUGACGGUACCUGUAGAAGAAGCCCCGGGUAACUACGUGCCAGCAGCCGCGGGAAUCCGUCGGGGGCCAGCGGUAUCCGGAGUUACUGGGUGUAAAGGGGGCUCAGACGGUGAUGCAAGCCAGGAGUGAAAGCCCGGGGCCCAACCCCGGGACUGCUCUUGGAACUGAGUGGCUGGAGUGCAGGAGAGGCAGGCGGAAUUCCGGGUGUAGCGGUGAAAUGCGUAGAUAUCAGGAGGAACAACGGUGGCGAAGGCGGCCUGCUGGACUGCAACUGACGUUGAGGCCCGAAAGCGUGGGGAGCAAACAGGAUUAGAUACCCUGGUAGUC
RNAcentral lists this ribosomal RNA (440 nucleotides) under uncultured bacterium. Its description in RNAcentral is "partial 16S ribosomal RNA". It matches the Rfam family "Bacterial small subunit ribosomal RNA", at positions 338 to 795 of the family's 1533-position model. The record is from RNAcentral.